RNAcentral lists this ribosomal RNA (448 nucleotides) under uncultured bacterium. RNAcentral describes it as "bacterial SSU rRNA". It matches the Rfam family "Bacterial small subunit ribosomal RNA", at positions 29 to 522 of the family's 1533-position model. The record is from RNAcentral.
AACGAACGUUGGCGGCAGGCCUAACACAUGCAAGUCGAGCGCUCUCUUCGGAGGGAGCGGCGGACGGGUUAGUAACGCGUGGGAACGUACCCAGAUCUAAGGAAUAGCCACUGGAAACGAUGAGUAAUACCUUAUACGCCCUUCGGGGAAAGGAUUUAUCGGAUUUGGAUCGGCCCGCGUUAGAUUAGAUAGUUGGUGGGGUAAUGGCCUACCAAGUCUACGAUCUAUAGCUGGUUUUAGAGGAUGAUCAGCAACACUGGGACUGAGACACGGCCCAGACUCCUACGGGAGGCAGCAGUGGGGAAUCUUGGACAAUGGGCGCAAGCCUGAUCCAGCCAUGCCGCGUGAGUGAUGAAGGCCUUAGGGUCGUAAAGCUCUUUCGCCUGUGAAGAUAAUGACUGUAGCAGGUAAAGAAACCCCGGCUAACUCCGUGCCAGCAGCCGCGUAA